Molecule: long non-coding RNA, 233 nt
Filed under: Gossypium barbadense (sea-island cotton)
Lineage: Eukaryota; Viridiplantae; Streptophyta; Magnoliopsida; Malvales; Malvaceae
Description: long non-coding RNA (GBAR_LNC013656)
Source: RNAcentral
GAUAAGGUUGUGGAUGCUUGGUAGUGGUUAAGCAAAGCUUUUCCACCAUCGUCGUGCUGGCUAUGUUCGAGCAACUUUCACCAUCAAUAAUAACUCUACAAAGCUUACCUUGUACGUGGCAGCGAGUAUGAAAUAGAUGUUUUCGUUGUUGCUCGCUCUUUGGUUUUGCCAAAGAUGAUUGUCCAUGAUCAUGACAAUCAUCAUCCAUUCUAGGGACACGUUGAGGGUUGCAC